UACGGAGGAUGCAAGCGUUAUCCGGAAUGAUUGGGCGUAAAGCGUCCGCAGGUGGCUGUGUAAGUCUGCUGUCAAAGAGCGAAGCUCAACUUCGUAAAGGCAGUGGAAACUACACGGCUAGAGUGCGUUCGGGGCAGAGGGAAUUCCUGGUGUAGCGGUGAAAUGCGUAGAGAUCGGGAAGAACACCGGUGGCGAAGGCGCUCUGCUAGGCCGCAACUGACACUGAGGGACGAAAGCUAGGGGAGCGAAUGGG
This 253-nucleotide ribosomal RNA is filed under the name uncultured bacterium. RNAcentral's name for it is "partial 16S ribosomal RNA". It matches the Rfam family "Bacterial small subunit ribosomal RNA", at positions 524 to 776 of the family's 1533-position model. The record is from RNAcentral.